This 216-nucleotide ribosomal RNA is filed under the name uncultured bacterium. RNAcentral's name for it is "partial 16S ribosomal RNA". It matches the Rfam family "Bacterial small subunit ribosomal RNA", at positions 124 to 334 of the family's 1533-position model. The record is from RNAcentral.
CCUAGCCUCAUAGACUGGGACAACUAUUGGAAACGAUAGCUAAUACCGGAUAACAGUAUUUCUCGCAUGAGAGAUAUUUAAAAGUUGGUUAUGCUAACACUAUGAGAUGGCUUUGCGGUGCAUUAGCUAGUUGGUGGGGUAAAGGCCUACCAAGGCGACGAUGCAUAGCCGACCUGAGAGGGUGAUCGGCCACACUGGGACUGAGACACGGCCCAG